Molecule: ribosomal RNA, 465 nt
Filed under: Vreelandella stevensii
Lineage: Bacteria; Pseudomonadati; Pseudomonadota; Gammaproteobacteria; Oceanospirillales; Halomonadaceae
Description: partial 16S ribosomal RNA
Rfam family: Bacterial small subunit ribosomal RNA
Source: RNAcentral
CCUACGGGGGGCUGCAGUGGGGAAUAUUGGACAAUGGGGGCAACCCUGAUCCAGCCAUGCCGCGUGUGUGAAGAAGGCCCUCGGGUUGUAAAGCACUUUCUGUGAGGAAGAACGCCUGGUGGUUAAUACCCAUCAGGAAAGACAUCACUCACAGAAGAAGCACCGGCUAACUCCGUGCCAGCAGCCGCGGUAAUACGGAGGGUGCGAGCGUUAAUCGGAAUUACUGGGCGUAAAGCGCGCGUAGGUGGCUUGAUAAGCCGGUUGUGAAAGCCCCGGGCUCAACCUGGGAACGGCAUCCGGAACUGUCAAGCUAGAGUGCAGGAGAGGAAGGUAGAAUUCCCGGUGUAGCGGUGAAAUGCGUAGAGAUCGGGAGGAAUACCAGUGGCGAAGGCGGCCUUCUGGACUGACACUGACACUGAGGUGCGAAAGCGUGGGUAGCAAACAGGAUUAGAUACCCGUGUAGUC